AAAACGACUCUCGGCAAUGGAUAUCUAGGCUCUCGCAUCGAUGAAGAACGUAGCGAAAUGCAAUACUUGGUGUGAAUUGCAGAAUCCCGCGAAUCAUCGAGUUUUUGAACGCAAGUUGCGCCCGAAGCCAUUCGGCCGAGGGCACGUUUGCCUGGGUGUCACGC
This 164-nucleotide ribosomal RNA is filed under the name Quercus pyrenaica. RNAcentral describes it as "5.8S ribosomal RNA". It matches the Rfam family "5.8S ribosomal RNA". Rfam says of the family: 5.8S ribosomal RNA (5.8S rRNA) is a component of the large subunit of the eukaryotic ribosome. It is transcribed by RNA polymerase I as part of the 45S precursor that also contains 18S and 28S rRNA. RNAcentral also lists the same sequence under 2 other names. The record is from RNAcentral. Lineage: Eukaryota; Viridiplantae; Streptophyta; Magnoliopsida; Fagales; Fagaceae.